GGCCAAGUUGUUAAGCGCACACGGUGGAUGCCUUGGCGGUCAGAGGCGAUGAAGGACGUGGCAGCCUGCGAAAAGUAUCGGGGAGCUGGCAACAAGCUUUGAUCCGGUAAUGUCCGAAUGGGGAAACCCACCCGCUUGCGGGUAUCCUGCAGUGAAUACAUAGCUGCUGGAAGCGAACCUGGUGAACUGAAAUAUCUAAGUAACCAGAGGAAAAGAAAUCAACCGAGAUUCCGUAAGUAGCGACGAGCGAACGCGGACUAGCCCUUAAGCUGAUUUGGUUCUAGGAAAACACUCUGGAAAGAGUGGCCAUAGAAGGUGAUAGCCCUGUAUCUGAAAGGGCCAUUUCAGUGAAGACGAGUAGGGCGGGGCACGUGAAACCCUGUCUGAACAUGGG
This 394-nucleotide ribosomal RNA is filed under the name Streptomyces alkaliphilus. RNAcentral describes it as "partial 23S ribosomal RNA". It matches the Rfam family "Bacterial large subunit ribosomal RNA", at positions 1 to 448 of the family's 2925-position model. Lineage: Bacteria; Bacillati; Actinomycetota; Actinomycetes; Kitasatosporales; Streptomycetaceae. The record is from RNAcentral.